Molecule: ribosomal RNA, 496 nt
Filed under: uncultured bacterium
Lineage: Bacteria
Description: partial 16S ribosomal RNA
Rfam family: Bacterial small subunit ribosomal RNA
Source: RNAcentral
AUGAACGCUGGCGGCGUGCCUAAUCCCUGCAAGUCGAGCGCACAGACGAGGAGCUUGCUCCUCUGACGUUAGCGGCGGACGGGUGAGUAACACGUGGAUAACCUACCUAUAAGACUGGGAUAACUUCGGGAAACCGGAGCUAAUACCGGAUAAUAUAUUGAACCGCAUGGUUCAAUAGUGAAAGACGGUUUUGCUGUCACUUAUAGAUGGAUCCGCGCCGCAGUAGCUAGUUGGUAAGGUAACGGCUUACCAAGGCGACGAUGCGUAGCCGACCUGAGAGGGUGAUCGGCCACACUGGAACUGAGACACGGUCCAGACUCCUACGGGAGGCAGCAGUAGGGAAUCUUCCGCAAUGGGCGAAAGCCUGACGGAGCAACGCCGCGUGAGUGAUGAAGGUCUUCGGAUCGUAAAACUCUGUUAUUAGGGAAGAACAAAUGUGUAAGUAACUAUGCACGUCUUGACGGUACCUAAUCAGAAAGCCACGGCUAACUACGUG